Molecule: long non-coding RNA, 818 nt
Organism: Gracilinanus agilis (Agile Gracile Mouse Opossum)
Lineage: Eukaryota; Metazoa; Chordata; Mammalia; Didelphimorphia; Didelphidae
Exons: 3
Source: RefSeq, a predicted model, not a curated record
AAGGGGGAGAAGGAAGAAGGAAAUUAAGAAAGGAGGGAAGGAAGAUGGAAGAAAGGGAGGGAUGAAGAGCAUUUAUGAAGAACUUCUGUGCAAAGCAGUGGGUCAAGUGCUGAGGUCCCAAACUGAAAAACAAGUCACUCUGGUCUCAAAGGAUGAUUAAUGGAGAGGAAAUUGGGAAGAUAGAUAGUUUUGCAACAUUUUUCUCGUGUUGUGUUUAUUUUUAGUGUAAUCCUGGAGAAUGAUCCCCAGCAGGUGAUCCAGAAAGUAAACUUCAGGGUAGAUGACAGCGGCCUGUCUGAGCAGAGUGUGGCCCAGGUUCUACAGUCUGCCAAGGAGCAAAUUAAGUGGUCUUUACUAAAGUGAAAACCGUAGGAGCCAAACCUGCCUGCUCACUCCCUGGACCAUUUCCUCAGACCUGUACAACGCUGAGGAGCCAGAGAGACAAGAGGGUCCUUCCCUUUUACCCUCCCAAAGCCUCCCCCCAAUACUAACCCAGAAUCCCGAGUUCCUGACCUAUAACCCAGCACUGGCAAAUUCAGUCUCAAAGCUGGAAGGCACUUUGGUCAUCUUCUAGACCCAAACAUCCCAAUAGGCGGUCCCUCUGUAUAUUCUGAAGUGGAAAACCAGCUUCACUUGAAGAAUCUCAGUGAGAGAGAACUCAUCCCUCCCCAGCAGCCCAUUCUACUCCUGAACCACUCAUGCCUGAGUCAGGCAUCCCAUCCCCAUGGCAACCAGCUGGUCUGACUCCUUGAAGGUAGACUCCUUUGUCUCUCUGGGACCUGAGACCAGACACUGAAUAAACCAACUUUUGUCUCCUA